AAACAUUUAAGUCACCAAAUGUUCUCCUGAGAAUUGAAGUGCUUUGGACUAAAUUGUAUCUUGUGAGAUAAGACUGUUUUACAGUCCCGUGCUUUGUGUUUUUUCUUCAAGGCCUUGGAUCUGUUUUUUCUUAAUCAUGAAAUGACUAUUCUCGGCAUUCCCUAAAGUCUGUCAGAUUCUGAUUGUCUCCUUUUCCCUUUGGCUACUUGUGCAGAACCCAAAUAGCAGCCUGCUUGCUAACAACCGGUCAAGAGUGUGCGUAAUAACUUGGAGGGGUUUCUCUCUUUUUUUUUUUUUUUUACUUUUUUUUUAUUUUCGGUUAAGAAAAUAGAAGCCAAUAGUUGCAGCCUAUUCUCAGUGAUACUGGUGGGACAUGAACAGACUAGCUAAGGACCAGAAUAUCAGAUUUUUGGUCCUUAGGUCUCUUUUCUACCUUAAUUAUGGUGCUAUUAUUUGUAACUGAAAUAAAUACAUUUAUUGGUUGGUUUAUUUUUCUGCUUGGUUUUAAAUCACUGGUUAUUUUCAUGUUUCUAAUUCAAAAGCUAACUAACUAGCAGAGUGUCAAAAUGUUUUUCCGAACAGCUUAAGCCAAUUGAAAAGUAUGUGUUGAAUUUCUUUAAUCGUUUCAUACUUUGAUCAAAAAAGCCAGAAAGCCAAUAAGGAGUUAAAAACUGCAAAUAUAAAAUAGGAAUAUCAUCAUGCCAAGAAGCUGGAAAAGGCAGAAGAAAAAUUUCAGCAGGAAGUGAAAGAGGAACUCUUAAUGUAUACCAGACAAGAUGCUUAAAACAAGGUAACAUCAAGGGAUCUCCAAGUCCCUGCUUUUUGAAGAAUUUUCACGUUGUGACUGUGAGCCAUGUAUGUCUGUUGGGUUCACACUGCACUGGUCUCGUGCCCUUACACAGUUACUGUGCUCUCGAAGCUGGCACUCUGUGGACAGUUCUAAUUCUGUAGAGUAGCAGGUUGCAGUGUUGGCAGAACUGUGGGUUGGUAGGUUGACUUGGAAUGGAAAUGCACAGUCCUGUAUUAAGGUAACAAUAACUGAAGGAAGAGAUGGAGAAAAAUACUGAAAAUUAAACAUCAUUCCUUUUUUUUUUUUUUUUUUUUCCUAGUGUAAUUUUUGAAUUAUUGUUAUUUCAAACAAGCUCAGGUUUGUAAAUGCUAGGUUCUGGGCUGGAUGAUGUAUUGAGGUUAUCAAAAAUUCUUUGUUUCUCAUACAAGAAUUUGUCUGUGAUGGACCAGAUGGAGAAAUAGAAAUAACAGCUUUAAUUACUGGCAAACUAUGGCUUGUGGGGUUUGGUUUUUUUGUUGUUGUUGCUGAUUUCUCCUGUUGUACCUGAGACUCACAAUGAUGUCUACAAUGCUUCUGUGUAGAAAAGUGCUGCAAAUCAUUUAACUAAUGAUAAAUCUUUUGCAGUAAUCAGCUUUCUGUCAUGAUCUUUGUUGCACAAAGUUCCUUUCUCACUGGAGAUAACAACUUUGUCGUGCCAGUUAGCUUCAGGUGAGAGAAAGAAGCAUUGCCAUAGAAGGAUGGUUGUUCCUCCACCUUCACUUUUCGUCCAAGUGACUCCAAGAUUAUUGAAAGCAUGACAGAAGAGCAAAGCUCAGGAGACUCUCCUCUGGGUAAAACAGAAAAUGUAUUUUGCAAGAGCUUUGCCAGCUUUCAGCAAGUCAGCUGCUGACACUGGGCAGGAUAGUCUUGCAUGGCUAAUUGCUGAAGACUUGGCACUGUUAAAACUAAGAUAGUACUUCAUUUUUAUUGACUUCAGAAACUUUUUACUUGGAAGUUUAUUAGAGCAUCCAUAGACCUUGAUAAAUACGGGAUUAUACAUGCUUGUGCACACAAGAAAAGCAUUUAAGUGAAACCUUACACUGUUUUGAUUUCUCUCUGCCCCUAGGCGGUGAAACAGUUACAGACACUU
Molecule: long non-coding RNA, 1919 nt
Organism: Athene cunicularia (burrowing owl)
Lineage: Eukaryota; Metazoa; Chordata; Aves; Strigiformes; Strigidae
Source: Ensembl